Molecule: ribosomal RNA, 2902 nt
Filed under: Klebsiella pneumoniae
Lineage: Bacteria; Pseudomonadati; Pseudomonadota; Gammaproteobacteria; Enterobacterales; Enterobacteriaceae
Description: 23S ribosomal RNA
Rfam family: Bacterial large subunit ribosomal RNA
Source: RNAcentral
GGUUAAGCGACUAAGCGUACACGGUGGAUGCCCUGGCAGUCAGAGGCGAUGAAGGACGUGCUAAUCUGCGAAAAGCGUCGGUAAGGUGAUAUGAACCGUUAUAGCCGGCGAUGUCCGAAUGGGGAAACCCAGUGCAAUUCGUUGCACUAUCGUUAACUGAAUACAUAGGUUAACGAGGCGAACCGGGGGAACUGAAACAUCUAAGUACCCCGAGGAAAAGAAAUCAACCGAGAUUCCCCCAGUAGCGGCGAGCGAACGGGGAGCAGCCCAGAGUCUGAAUCAGCUUGUGUGUUAGUGGAACGGUCUGGAAAGUCCGACGGUACAGGGUGAUAGUCCCGUACACCAAAAUGCACAGGCUGUGAACUCGAAGAGUAGGGCGGGACACGUGGUAUCCUGUCUGAAUAUGGGGGGACCAUCCUCCAAGGCUAAAUACUCCUGACUGACCGAUAGUGAACCAGUACCGUGAGGGAAAGGCGAAAAGAACCCCGGCGAGGGGAGUGAAAAAGAACCUGAAACCGUGUACGUACAAGCAGUGGGAGCACCUUCGGGUGUGACUGCGUACCUUUUGUAUAAUGGGUCAGCGACUUAUAUUCUGUAGCAAGGUUAACCGUAUAGGGGAGCCGCAGGGAAACCGAGUCUUAACUGGGCGUUAAGUUGCAGGGUAUAGACCCGAAACCCGGUGAUCUAGCCAUGGGCAGGUUGAAGGUUGGGUAACACUAACUGGAGGACCGAACCGACUAAUGUUGAAAAAUUAGCGGAUGACUUGUGGCUGGGGGUGAAAGGCCAAUCAAACCGGGAGAUAGCUGGUUCUCCCCGAAAGCUAUUUAGGUAGCGCCUCGUGAAUUCAUCUUCGGGGGUAGAGCACUGUUUCGGCUAGGGGGUCAUCCCGACUUACCAACCCGAUGCAAACUACGAAUACCGAAGAAUGUUAUCACGGGAGACACACGGCGGGUGCUAACGUCCGUCGUGAAGAGGGAAACAACCCAGACCGCCAGCUAAGGUCCCAAAGUCAUGGUUAAGUGGGAAACGAUGUGGGAAGGCACAGACAGCCAGGAUGUUGGCUUAGAAGCAGCCAUCAUUUAAAGAAAGCGUAAUAGCUCACUGGUCGAGUCGGCCUGCGCGGAAGAUGUAACGGGGCUAAACCAUGCACCGAAGCUGCGGCAGCGACACUAUGUGUUGUUGGGUAGGGGAGCGUUCUGUAAGCCUGCGAAGGUGUGCUGUGAGGCAUGCUGGAGGUAUCAGAAGUGCGAAUGCUGACAUAAGUAACGAUAAAGCGGGUGAAAAGCCCGCUCGCCGGAAGACCAAGGGUUCCUGUCCAACGUUAAUCGGGGCAGGGUGAGUCGACCCCUAAGGCGAGGCCGAAAGGCGUAGUCGAUGGGAAACAGGUUAAUAUUCCUGUACUUGGUGUUACUGCGAAGGGGGGACGGAGAAGGCUAUGUUAGCCGGGCGACGGUUGUCCCGGUUUAAGCAUGUAGGCUGAUUGUCCAGGCAAAUCCGGAUAAUCAAGGCUGAGGUGUGAUGACGAGGCACUACGGUGCUGAAGUAACAAAUGCCCUGCUUCCAGGAAAAGCCUCUAAGCAUCAGGUAACAUCAAAUCGUACCCCAAACCGACACAGGUGGUCAGGUAGAGAAUACCAAGGCGCUUGAGAGAACUCGGGUGAAGGAACUAGGCAAAAUGGUGCCGUAACUUCGGGAGAAGGCACGCUGGUGUGUAGGUGAAGCCCCUGCGGGUGGAGCUGAGACCAGUCGAAGAUACCAGCUGGCUGCAACUGUUUAUUAAAAACACAGCACUGUGCAAACACGAAAGUGGACGUAUACGGUGUGACGCCUGCCCGGUGCCGGAAGGUUAAUUGAUGGGGUUAUCCGUAAGGAGAAGCUCUUGAUCGAAGCCCCGGUAAACGGCGGCCGUAACUAUAACGGUCCUAAGGUAGCGAAAUUCCUUGUCGGGUAAGUUCCGACCUGCACGAAUGGCGUAAUGAUGGCCAGGCUGUCUCCACCCGAGACUCAGUGAAAUUGAACUCGCUGUGAAGAUGCAGUGUACCCGCGGCAAGACGGAAAGACCCCGUGAACCUUUACUAUAGCUUGACACUGAACAUUGAGCCUUGAUGUGUAGGAUAGGUGGGAGGCUUUGAAGCGUGGACGCCAGUCUGCGUGGAGCCAACCUUGAAAUACCACCCUUUAAUGUUUGAUGUUCUAACGUUGGCCCCUGACCGGGGUUGCGGACAGUGUCUGGUGGGUAGUUUGACUGGGGCGGUCUCCUCCCAAAGCGUAACGGAGGAGCACGAAGGUUAGCUAAUCCUGGUCGGACAUCAGGAGGUUAGUGCAAUGGCAUAAGCUAGCUUGACUGCGAGCGUGACGGCGCGAGCAGGUGCGAAAGCAGGUCAUAGUGAUCCGGUGGUUCUGAAUGGAAGGGCCAUCGCUCAACGGAUAAAAGGUACUCCGGGGAUAACAGGCUGAUACCGCCCAAGAGUUCAUAUCGACGGCGGUGUUUGGCACCUCGAUGUCGGCUCAUCACAUCCUGGGGCUGAAGUAGGUCCCAAGGGUAUGGCUGUUCGCCAUUUAAAGUGGUACGCGAGCUGGGUUUAGAACGUCGUGAGACAGUUCGGUCCCUAUCUGCCGUGGGCGCUGGAGAAUUGAGGGGGGCUGCUCCUAGUACGAGAGGACCGGAGUGGACGCAUCACUGGUGUUCGGGUUGUCAUGCCAAUGGCACUGCCCGGUAGCUAAAUGCGGAAGAGAUAAGUGCUGAAAGCAUCUAAGCACGAAACUUGCCCCGAGAUGAGUUCUCCCUGAGACUUUAAGUCUCCUGAAGGAACGUUGAAGACGACGACGUUGAUAGGCCGGGUGUGUAAGCGCAGCGAUGCGUUGAGCUAACCGGUACUAAUGAACCGUGAGGCUUAACCUU